This 562-nucleotide ribosomal RNA is filed under the name uncultured bacterium. RNAcentral describes it as "bacterial SSU rRNA". It matches the Rfam family "Bacterial small subunit ribosomal RNA", at positions 103 to 679 of the family's 1533-position model. The record is from RNAcentral.
AGGGAGAGUAAUACGCGGGUACCUACCUCGGGGUUCAGGAUAGCGGCGGGAAACUGCCAUUAAUACUGAAUAAUGUCUACGGACCAAAGGUGUGAUUCCACCUCGAGACGGGCCCACGUCCUAUCAGCUAGUUGGUGGGGUAAUGGCCUACCAAGGCAAUGACGGGUAUGGGGCGUGAGAGCGUGCCCCCACUCACUGGGACUGAGACACUGCCCAGACACCUACGGGUGGCUGCAGUCGAGAAUCUUCGGCAAUGGGCGAAAGCCUGACCGAGCGAUGCCGCGUGCGGGAUGAAGGCCCUCGGGUUGUAAACCGCUGUCGUAGGGGAGGAAGGCUCUGUGAAGAACAGGGUUUGACCGAUCCUAGGAGGAAGUGGAGGCUAACCUCGUGCCAGCAGCCGCGGUAAGACGAGGUCCACAAACGUUAUUCGGAAUUACUGGGCUUAAAGCGUGCGUAGGCGGCCUAGCAAGUCAGGUGUGAAAGCCCUCGGCUCAACCGAGGAAUUGCGCCCGAAACUGGUGGGCUUGAGUGAGACAGAGGUGAGCGGAACUGAUGGUGGAGC